Molecule: ribosomal RNA, 430 nt
Filed under: Pseudomonadota bacterium
Lineage: Bacteria; Pseudomonadati; Pseudomonadota
Description: Proteobacteria bacterium partial 16S ribosomal RNA
Rfam family: Bacterial small subunit ribosomal RNA
Source: RNAcentral
UGGGGAAUAUUGGACAAUGGGCGCAAGCCUGAUCCAGCCAUGCCGCGUGUGUGAAGAAGGCCUUAUGGUUGUAAAGCACUUUAAGCGAGGAGGAGGCUACUUUAGUUAAUACCUAGAGAUAGCGGACGUUACUCGCAGAAUAAGCACCGGCUAACUCUGUGCCAGCAGCCGCGGUAAUACAGAGGGUGCAAGCGUUAAUCGGAUUUACUGGGCGUAAAGCGCGCGUAGGCGGCUAAUUAAGUCAAAUGUGAAAUCCCCGAGCUUAACUUGGGAAUUGCAUUCGAUACUGGUUAGCUAGAGUGUGGGAGAGGAUGGUAGAAUUCCAGGUGUAGCGGUGAAAUGCGUAGAGAUCUGGAGGAAUACCGAUGGCGAAGGCAGCCAUCUGGCCUAACACUGACGCUGAGGUGCGAAAGCAUGGGGAGCAAACAGG